CCUGGAAUUCUUGUUAACAUAUCAAUGAGACAUUCGGUUGAUAAAUCAGUUGCCGUUACAUCUAGCUCUUGAAUGGUAGUUUUUUCCCAUUCCACUUGCAUUACGUGCUCGCUGCGAAGAUCUGGUUUUCAUCGUUGAUCCAGUGACUUUCGAGCAAAAAUUUACUGCCAAACAUUCUAGUUGAAUGCAAUUCGACGAAAAUGCAUCGAUAUGAGAAUCAUCGACAAAAUUAAUUCCAUAAAGAUUAAUUACUCUUAAAUUUGGAGUUGCGGAUUUUAAUUUAUGCACGUUGAUGACUUCGUAAAUUUCCUCUUCCUCUUCUUCAACCUUUUCACGUCGGCUGAAAAUUCAAAAAGAAGCUUGAACCAUCAAUUGUAAUAAAGCAAAAUAAGAUAAAUUUUUCUUUGAAAGAAAUCGAAGAAAUGUAUCUAAAGCCAUUUGAAGGAGAAGAAGAGGAAAAAAAAGAAGAAAGAGAAUAUAAAAAAGAAAGUUAUAAAGCAGAAAAUACAAAUUGAAGAAAGAAUCGAAUAGAGAAGAAUUGUAAAUUCAAAAAUAAGCUUAAACCAUCAAUUGUAAUAAAGCAAAAUAUGAAAAAUAUUUCUUUAAAAGAAGUCGAAGAAAUAUAUAUCUUUAGCCACUUAAAGAAGAAGAAGAAUAAAUAAAUAGAAGUUAUGAAGCAGAAGAUGAAAAUUGAAGAAAGCAUCAAAUUGAGAAAGAAAAGAUUUUUUUAUCUUCAUGAGAAGAGAACUGUCAACAAUUUAUUAGUGACGAGAGGAAAAUUCUGAAAGAGUGAACAAAAGAAACAGAAAGUGGAGUAAAUGGAAAAGAUCAACGAAGCUGAAGUCAUUUUUUUAAAGUUAGAUUAUUAUUAAACAAAUUUUCGAAACAGAACGAGAAAUUAGAAGAAGAAAAUAUACCAGAAAAUGAAUAGACACUCCAACCUGAAAUCCUGUGACAAUUUCUUCUUCAAAAGGUGCCAUUAAUCGGUAAUCCUAAUGGAAAUAAAUUGGAAAGACAAUAUUUAAAGAUGAAUGAAAAGAAUGUAAAAACUUACUGUACUUGCAAAACGACUUUUUAUGACUCCGCCUUCCGAAACAUACAUUUGAGAUGUUUCAACGGCUAUUUGGCCCCAAACAUCCAGACCCUCCAUUUUUAAUACAAGUUAACAAAUUUCUUGAUCCGAUCACCAUAAAAAUGGUAUUCUUACCUGGAAGGAACAAAAAUCCAAUCCUGAUCGAUCUCUCAGCCCUCAGCAAUCAGCAAAAAUGUGUUAAAAUGAUUUUACAAUUAUCCCAAAG
Long non-coding RNA from Leptopilina heterotoma, 1298 nucleotides. RefSeq lists it as uncharacterized. The transcript is spliced from 5 exons. Lineage: Eukaryota; Metazoa; Arthropoda; Insecta; Hymenoptera; Figitidae. The record is from RefSeq and is a predicted model, not a curated record.